This 301-nucleotide ribosomal RNA is filed under the name uncultured bacterium. Its description in RNAcentral is "partial 16S ribosomal RNA". It matches the Rfam family "Bacterial small subunit ribosomal RNA", at positions 509 to 809 of the family's 1533-position model. The record is from RNAcentral.
CAGCCGCCACGGUAAUACGAAGGGUGCAAGCGUUACUCGGAAUUACUGGGCGUAAAGCGUGCGUAGGUGGUGGUUUAAGUCCGUUGUGAAAGCCCUGGGCUCAACCUGGGAAUUGCAGUGGAUACUGGGUCACUAGAGUGUGGUAGAGGAUAGUGGAAUUUCCGGUGUAGCAGUGAAAUGCGUAGAGAUCGGAAGGAACAUCUGUGGCGAAGGCGACUAUCUGGGCCAACACUGACACUGAGGCACGAAAGCGUGGGGAGCAAACAGGAUUAGAUACCCCCGUAGUCCCUGUCUCUUAUAA